AUACCGCGGCUGCUGGCACGGAUUUAGCCGGUGCUUCUUCUGUGGGUAGCAUCAAUUUACUCACGUAUUAGGUGAAUAACCUUUCUCCCCACUGAAAGUGCUUUACAACCCUAAGGCCUUCUUCACACACGCGGCAUGGUUGGAUCAGGGUCGCCCCCAUUGUCCAAUAUUCCCCACUGCUGCCUCCCGUAGGAGUCUGGACCGUGUCUCAGUUCCAGUGUGGCUGAUCAUCCUCUCAGACCAGCUACGGAUCGUAGCCUUGGUAGGCCUUUACCCUACCAACUAGCUAAUCCGACAUGGGCUCAUCUGAUAGCGAGAGGUCCGAAGAUCCCCCGCUU
RNAcentral lists this ribosomal RNA (338 nucleotides) under uncultured Gammaproteobacteria bacterium. Its description in RNAcentral is "partial 16S ribosomal RNA". The record is from RNAcentral. Lineage: Bacteria; Pseudomonadati; Pseudomonadota; Gammaproteobacteria.